RNAcentral lists this ribosomal RNA (497 nucleotides) under uncultured bacterium. RNAcentral's name for it is "partial 16S ribosomal RNA". It matches the Rfam family "Bacterial small subunit ribosomal RNA", at positions 28 to 507 of the family's 1533-position model. The record is from RNAcentral.
GAUGAACGCUGGCGGCGUGCCUAAUACAUGCAAGUCGAGCGAACGGACGAGAAGCUUGCUUCUCUGAUGUUAGCGGCGGACGGGUGAUUAACACGUGGAUAAACUAACUAUAAGACUGGGAUAACUUCGGGAAACCGGAGCUAAUACCGGAUAAUAUUUUGAACCGCAUGGUUCAAGAGUGAAAGACGGUCUUGCUGUCACUAAUAGAUGGAUCCGCGCUGCAUUAGCUAGUUGGUAAGGUAACGGCUUACCAAGGCAACGAUGCAUAGCCGACCUGAGAGGGUGAUCGGCCACACUGGCACUGAGACACGGCCCAGACUCUGACGGGAGGCAGCAGUAGGGAAUCUUCCGCAAUGGGCGAAAGCGUGACGGAGCAACGCCGCGUGAGUGAUGAAGGUCUUCGGAUCGUAAAGUUAUGUUAUUAGGGAAGAACAUAUGUGUAAGUACCUGUGCACAUCUUGACGGUACCUAAUCAGAAAGCCACGGCUAACUCCGUG